Molecule: ribosomal RNA, 334 nt
Filed under: uncultured Leptolinea sp.
Lineage: Bacteria; Bacillati; Chloroflexota; Anaerolineae; Anaerolineales; Anaerolineaceae
Description: bacterial SSU rRNA
Rfam family: Bacterial small subunit ribosomal RNA
Source: RNAcentral
ACAGGUGCUGCAUGGCUGUCGUCAGCUCGUGUCGUGAGAUGUUCGGUUAAGUCCGCUAACGAGCGCAACCCUCGCUGUGUGUUAUAUGUGUCACACGGGACUGCCGGUCUUAAGCCGGAGGAAGGUGGGGAUGAUGUCAAGUCAGCAUGGCCUUUAUAUCCUGGGCUACACACACGCUACAAUGGCCAACACAAUAGGUUGCUAAGCCGCGAGGUGGCGCCAAUCCAUAGAGUUGGUCUCAGUUCAGAUUGUAGGCUGCAACCCGCCUGCAUGAAGAUGGAGUUGCUAGUAACCGCAGGUCAGCUAUACUGCGGUGAAUACGUUCCCGGGGCUU